GACGAACGCUGGCGGCGUGCUUAACACAUGCAAGUCGAACGGAAAGGCCCUGCUUUUGUGGGGUGCUCGAGUGGCGAACGGGUGAGUAACACGUGAGUAACCUGCCCUUGACUUUGGGAUAACUUCAGGAAACUGGGGCUAAUACCGGAUAGGAGCUCCUGCUGCAUGGUGGGGGUUGGAAAGUUUCGGCGGUUGGGGAUGGACUCGCGGCUUAUCAGCUUGUUGGUGGGGUAGUGGCUUACCAAGGCUUUGACGGGUAGCCGGCCUGAGAGGGUGACCGGCCACAUUGGGACGGAGAUACGGCCCAGACUCCUACGGGAGGCAGCGGUGGGGAAGAUUGCACAAUGGGCGGAAGCCUGAUGCAGCAACGCCGCGUGCGGGAUGACGGCCUUCGGGUUGGAAACCGCUUUCGCCUGUGACGAAGCGUGAGUGACGGUAAUGGGUAAAGAAGCACCGGCUAACUACGUG
RNAcentral lists this ribosomal RNA (468 nucleotides) under uncultured bacterium. Its description in RNAcentral is "partial 16S ribosomal RNA". It matches the Rfam family "Bacterial small subunit ribosomal RNA", at positions 28 to 507 of the family's 1533-position model. The record is from RNAcentral.